GUGGUAACAUUCACAUUAAGAAUAGUGUGGCUAUAUUCCGUUAUUACAGAAAUGUAUCCCACACUGAAAAGCGUGAUAUCGCAUGAGCGAUUUUAACGCUUCCCGUUUUGUUGAGGGAAGCGUGAACUGGAAAUAAUGUGACAAUGAAUGAAGGAGAGACCCAUGCAGGUCAGCAGAAGGCAGUUCUUUAAG
RNAcentral lists this small RNA (192 nucleotides) under Yersinia aldovae ATCC 35236. Its description in RNAcentral is "FdoG-1 5' UTR thermometer". It matches the Rfam family "FdoG-1 5' UTR thermometer". Rfam says of the family: Located upstream of fdoG-1 gene which is involved in metabolic processes. The record is from Rfam by way of RNAcentral. Lineage: Bacteria; Pseudomonadati; Pseudomonadota; Gammaproteobacteria; Enterobacterales; Yersiniaceae.